UACGUAGGUGGCAAGCGUUGUCCGGAAUUACUGGGUGUAAAGGGAGCGCAGGCGGGAAGCCAAGUCAACUGUGAAAACUACGGGCUUAACUUGUAGACUGCAGUUGAAACUGGUUUUCUUGAGUGAAGUAGAGGUUGGCGGAAUUCCGAGUGUAGCGGUGAAAUGCGUAGAUAUUCGGAGGAACACCGGUGGCGAAGGCGGCCAACUGGGCUUUAACUGACGCUGAGGCUCGAAAGUGUGGGGAGCAAACAGG
Molecule: ribosomal RNA, 253 nt
Filed under: uncultured bacterium
Lineage: Bacteria
Description: partial 16S ribosomal RNA
Rfam family: Bacterial small subunit ribosomal RNA
Source: RNAcentral